Dipodomys ordii (Ord's kangaroo rat) is the source of this 66-nucleotide microRNA precursor. Ensembl annotates it as microRNA 193a. The record is from Ensembl. NCBI's taxonomy places the organism in Eukaryota, Metazoa, Chordata, Mammalia, Rodentia, Heteromyidae.
GAGGGCUGGGUCUUUGCGGGCGAGAUGAGGGUGUCAGUUCAACUGGCCUACAAAGUCCCAGUCCUC